CACACAUAUAUAGCACCCCUAUAUUAUGUGUGUGAGGGGUGAUAUAUAUAUAUAUAUCACCCCUCACACACAUAAUAUAGGGGUGCUAUAUA
RNAcentral lists this microRNA precursor (92 nucleotides) under Pelobates cultripes (western spadefoot toad). Lineage: Eukaryota; Metazoa; Chordata; Amphibia; Anura; Pelobatidae. The record is from RNAcentral.